AUGAGCCGGCAUUCCCGGCAGGGAGGCGAGCGCAGCCUGCUCCCGCAUCCCUGGCUCCGGCAUUCCCGGCUCCCCCAUCCCUGGCUCCGGCAUUCCCGGCUCCCCCAUCCCUGGCUCCAGCAUUCCCGGCUCCCGCAUCCCUGGAUCAAGCAUCCUCGGCUCCAGCGUGUCUGGAUCCCGCAUUCCUGGAUCCAGCACUCCCGGAUCCCUCACUCUCGGAUCCCGCAUUCCCUGCUCCAGCAUUCCCGGCUCCAUCAUUCCCGGAUCCUUCAUUCCCAGCUCCAGCAUUCUCGGAUCCCGCAUUCCCUGCUCCAUCAUUCCCGGAUCCUUCAUUCCCGGCUCCAGCAUUCCCGACUCCCGGGCUGCCCCGGCCGCCGAGGGAGCGAUGGAAAAUCCCUGAGCCAGCGCCUGGAAAAUCCGUGCGGCAAAGGGGAUGCUGCAGAUGCUCUCAGCCUCCUCCCCGGCCUUGGCUUCGCUGCAAAACUCGGGAAAGCCUCAAAGUUGGGAUGGAUUUGGGAUGAUGGCAUAAAAUAUCCCUCCUGCUGCUCCAUCGGUGGGUAUUCCUGAGUAAUUUUUCCAGGGGCUUCCUAAUUUUACAUAAAUUGUUAAAUAU
This 613-nucleotide long non-coding RNA is filed under the name Junco hyemalis (dark-eyed junco). Its description in RNAcentral is "lncRNA (ENSJHYG00000003630.1)". Lineage: Eukaryota; Metazoa; Chordata; Aves; Passeriformes; Passerellidae. The record is from RNAcentral.